UACGGAGGGUGCAAGCGUUAAUCGGAAUUACUGGGCGUAAAGCGCACGCAGGCGGUUUGAUAAGUUUGAUGUGAAAUCCCCGGGCUUAACCUGGGAAUUGCAUUUAAAACUGUAAAGCUAGAGUGCUGUAGAGGGAGAGAGAAUUCCAGGUGUAGCGGUGAAAUGCGUAGAUAUCUGGAGGAAUACCGGUGGCGAAGGCGGCCCCCUGGACAAAGACUGACGCUGAGGGGCGAAAGCGUGGGGAGCAAACAGG
RNAcentral lists this ribosomal RNA (253 nucleotides) under uncultured bacterium. RNAcentral describes it as "partial 16S ribosomal RNA". It matches the Rfam family "Bacterial small subunit ribosomal RNA", at positions 524 to 776 of the family's 1533-position model. The record is from RNAcentral.